Molecule: non-coding RNA, 75 nt
Organism: Myotis davidii
Lineage: Eukaryota; Metazoa; Chordata; Mammalia; Chiroptera; Vespertilionidae
Source: Rfam
GGUGGUUCUCAGGUGACACACCCUGAAAUCAGGCUCCCUCCUCUCUGAUUCCAGGUGUCUCAAUCAAGAACCACA